Molecule: ribosomal RNA, 301 nt
Filed under: uncultured bacterium
Lineage: Bacteria
Description: partial 16S ribosomal RNA
Rfam family: Bacterial small subunit ribosomal RNA
Source: RNAcentral
CAGUCGCCGCGGUAAUACGUAGGGGGCAAGCGUUGUCCGGAAUUAUUGGGCGUAAAGCGCGCGCAGGCGGUUUUUUAAGUCUGGUGUCUAAGUGCGGGGCUCAACCCCGUGACGCACUGGAAACUGGGAGACUUGAGUGCAGAAGAGGAGAGCGGAAUUCCACGUGUAGCGGUGAAAUGCGUAGAGAUGUGGAGGAACACCAGUGGCGAAGGCGACUCUCUGGUCUGUAACUGACGCUGAGGAGCGAAAGCGUGGGGAGCGAACAGGAUUAGAUACCCGAGUAGUCCCUGUCUCUUAUACA